AUACGAAGGGGGCUAGCGUUGUUCGGAAUUACUGGGCGUAAAGCGCGCGUAGGCGGAUUGGUCAGUUAGGGGUGAAAUCCCAGGGCUUAACCCUGGAACUGCCUCUAAUACUGCCAGUCUUGAGUUCGGGAGAGGUGAGUGGAAUUCCUAGUGUAGAGGUGAAAUUCGUAGAUAUUAGGAAGAACACCAGUGGCGAAGGCGGCUCACUGGCCCGAUUCUGACGCUGAGGCGCGAAAGCGUGGGGAGCAAACAGGAUUAGAAACCCUAGUAGUCC
RNAcentral lists this ribosomal RNA (274 nucleotides) under uncultured bacterium. RNAcentral's name for it is "partial 16S ribosomal RNA". It matches the Rfam family "Bacterial small subunit ribosomal RNA", at positions 523 to 796 of the family's 1533-position model. The record is from RNAcentral.